GAGGAAGUUCCCUUUAAAAGUAAAGUGCGCAUGCGCCACAUCCUCUUCCUCUCCAAGCGGGUUUGACGCGGGUGUGCGCUACAAGUUGUACCUCGAGAUGUGCGAGAUGGUGUUUGUCACAGACAUUGAAGAGGACAAUUUUAAAGAUCAAAGUAUUGCUGCUGGAGAAGGGUAACAUGAGAAUGACAUCUUGAGGAAUAAGGUUGAAGUAAUGCCAUUGGGAAAGGAUGUUAAAAGAAUGACAUCUUAAGAAAAUAUGAUCAAUGUAUUGCCACCGGGGAAGCGUCAUGACGUGAGAAUGGCAUAUUUAAGGAAUAAGUCUAUCAAAGUAAAGUGUUUCCAUUGGAGAAUGUUGACAUGAGGAUUGCAACCUCACAAAGGUUGUGAUGCAGCAGUGCAAUUGGAUGGAUCUGUGGAUUACCGAUCACUUGAAAGACCUUUUCAUCCUGUUACCACACUUGAAAUGAAAGUCAAUGCAGUACAUAGUUGACACUAAAAUGACUGGCAGUGUACAAAUCAAAAUAAGAAUGUAGUACCUUGAUCCUAUUCCUCCACAAUGUAGGUUGCAUAGGUGUGCACAAAAUGCAAGAUCUGUUUGCGUAAAUCUUCCAAGGCAACAUCCCGGCAGUGCAGGGAAUCCAGGUCAUGGAGAGCACAAGGAAACACUGCUUCGGGUGGAAAAGCAAGCGUAGAGGCCCCUGUGUUCCCAAGACACAUUUUCUUAUUCCCAAACAAUCAUGCAUUCAAUGUAACAGGAUCUUGACUUUAAAAUUGUAAUUGUGCUAUGAAAAUAUAAGCAAAUUUAAUAAAUUAAUUCAAACA
Molecule: long non-coding RNA, 822 nt
Organism: Misgurnus anguillicaudatus (oriental weatherfish)
Lineage: Eukaryota; Metazoa; Chordata; Actinopteri; Cypriniformes; Cobitidae
Source: RefSeq, a predicted model, not a curated record